GCUCUUAUGACGCCCCUGAGGCUGCGGAAACAUGAUUAAAGUUGUAAAAAGGAAGAAUAAUAUAGCAAUGUACCCAUUUUAGUGAAUGAAAAUGUAAUCUCCCAUGGCAAUGUCAUCUCCAAGUACUUUGAAUCCUCUCUUUGUUUUUUUGUAAAAGAGACAAUGGUGUUUUUAUUACCAAAGCUAAUUGUAAUCUCCAGCGGUUUUUUUCCGUUAUCAAUAAUGCAACUCUCUGUAAUUUUCUCU
Molecule: long non-coding RNA, 246 nt
Organism: Brassica oleracea var. oleracea
Lineage: Eukaryota; Viridiplantae; Streptophyta; Magnoliopsida; Brassicales; Brassicaceae
Exons: 2
Source: RefSeq, a predicted model, not a curated record